GCUAGGUGUGGUGGUGCACACCUGUAGUCCCAGCUACUUAGGAAGCUAAGGCAGGAGAAUGACUUGAGUCCAGGAUUUUGAGGUUGCUGUGAGCUACAAUGAUGCCACGGCACUGUACCCAAGGGUGACAGAAUGAGGCUCUGUCUCAAAAAAAAAAAAAAAAAAGGAAAGAGCUAACCCUUCUGUAGGUCAUUCAUAUAUAUAUGAAUGUGUGUGUGUGUAUAUAUGUGUGUGUGUGUGUGUGUUUUUAAAGACAGUCUCAUUAUGUCACCCUCGGUAGGGUGCCGUGGCAUCACAGCUCAUAGCAACCUCAAACUCUUGGGCUUGAGCCAUUCUCUUGCCUUAA
RNAcentral lists this non-coding RNA (346 nucleotides) under Otolemur garnettii (small-eared galago). Lineage: Eukaryota; Metazoa; Chordata; Mammalia; Primates; Galagidae. The record is from Rfam by way of RNAcentral.